UAGGGAAUCUUCGGCAAUGGGGGCAACCCUGACCGAGCAACGCCGCGUGAGUGAAGAAGGUUUUCGGAUCGUAAAGCUCUGUUGUAAGUCAAGAACGGGUGUGAGAGUGGAAAGUUCACACUGUGACGGUAGCUUACCAGAAAGGGACGGCUAACUACGUGCCAGCAGCCGCGGUAAUACGUAGGUCCCGAGCGUUGUCCGGAUUUAUUGGGCGUAAAGCGAGCGCAGGCGGUUCGAUAAGUCUGAAGUUAAAGGCUGUGGCUCAACCAUAGUUCGCUUUGGAAACUGUCAAACUUGAGUGCAGAAGGGGAGAGUGGAAUUCCAUGUGUAGCGGUGAAAUGCGUAGAUAUAUGGAGGAACACCGGUGGCGAAAGCGGCUCUCUGGUCUGUAACUGACGCUGAGGCUCGAAAGCGUGGGGAGCGAACAGGAUUAGAUACCCUGGUAGUCCACGCCGUAAACGAUGAGUGCUAGGUGUUGGAUCCUUUCCGGGAUUCAGUGCCGCAGCUAACGCAUUAAGCACUCCGCCUGGGGAGUACGACCGCAAGGUUGAAACUCUAAAGUGAAUUGAC
Molecule: ribosomal RNA, 570 nt
Filed under: uncultured bacterium
Lineage: Bacteria
Description: partial 16S ribosomal RNA
Rfam family: Bacterial small subunit ribosomal RNA
Source: RNAcentral